ACUCAAAGGAAUAGACGGGGGCCCGCACAAGCGGCGGAGCAUGUGGAUUAAUUCGAUGCAACGCGAAGAACCUUACCUGGGCUUGACAUACACCGGACCGGGCCAGAGAUGGUCCUUCCCUUGUGGCUGGUGUACAGGUGGUGCAUGGUUGUCGUCAGCUCGUGUCGUGAGAUGUUGGGUUAAGUCCCGCAACGAGCGCAACCCUUGUCUUAUGUUGCCAGCACGUGAUGGUGGGGACUCAUGAGAGACUGCCGGGGUCAACUCGGAGGAAGGUGGGGAUGACGUCAAAUCAUCAUGCCCCUUAUGUCCAGGGCUUCACACAUGCUACAAUGGUCGGUACAACGCGUCGCCACACCGUGAGGUGGAGCUAAUCGCUGAAAGCCGGCCUCAGUUCGGAUUGGGGUCUGCAACUCGACCCCAUGAAGUCGGAGUCGCUAGUAAUCGCAGAUCAGCAACGCUGCGGUGAAUACGUUCCCGGGCCUUGUACACACCGCCCGU
RNAcentral lists this ribosomal RNA (498 nucleotides) under uncultured bacterium. Its description in RNAcentral is "bacterial SSU rRNA". It matches the Rfam family "Bacterial small subunit ribosomal RNA", at positions 899 to 1397 of the family's 1533-position model. The record is from RNAcentral.